CAUGCCUGUAAUCCCAGCACUUUGGGAGGCCAAGGUGGGCAGAUCACUUGAGGCCGGGAGUUGGAGACUAGCCUGACCAACAUGGUGAAACUCCAUCUCUACUAAAAAUACAAAAAUAAGCUGCAUGGUGUUGGGCACCACGCAACUAAUUUUUUUUGUAAUCCCAGCUACUCCGGAGGCUGAGGCAGGAGAAUCACUCGAACCAGGGAGACGGACGUUGCCAUGAGCCGAGACCGCACCACUGCACUCCAGCCUGGUGACAGGGUGAGACUCCGUCUCAAAAAAAAAAAAAAAAAAAAGUGAAAAUGGGGACAGCCUGAGGAGUUGCAAGAGUCAGAGAGCCAUGGUUCUUAAACCCAGAGGCAAGUUAAAGGCAAUUGGUGCUUUAGAAAUAACCGGAUGGAGAGAGAGUGCAUCCUGCUGUCCCUCAGCCGUGGAUAGAGGGACCCAGCUUGAGCUCAGGAUGUGCCAUAGCUGAAAUUCAGGUGUAUGUGGGCAACAGGUGGGACCCCCUUGACCAAAACUGUCAGAAUCAGGGUAGAGUGGAUUCCACGCAGAGAAAGCAAACAGGGCUGAUGAUAGUAAUCAAACACACCUGUGCCCCUUCCCCACCACCUUUCCAUUCCCGUGGUCAGUUGGCACAGUCUUACUGACCCUGCUGUGCUGGGCACUGAGAAGACGAGGCCGGGCCCACAGUGCUGACCAUAACCCAUGUGGAAUUCCCUCUUUGAAGGGAAACUGACCAUUGAACUGGAGAUUACAAGUUAGAGUGGAAAGUGACAUGGUGGCGGAGGGCUGUAGAGGGGCAGGGUAUGUGAGCCCAGAGAAAGUCACAUAACCUGGAAGUGAAAGGUGAUAGGGAGUAGGUAAGGUCGGAAGGAUGGAAGGACUCAGUGGGGGAAGCGGGGGUAGCAAAGAGCAUAGGAGAAUGUUCCAGGCAGACAGAAGGGCAGAGGCAAAGGAUUGGAUUUUACCAGUUAGGAGAAUUUUCUAGGGGCUGGAGCACAGAGGGUAUGUGUUUUGGAGGCAGGGUGGGCAGGAAUGUGUCCUCCUUUCCAGAGAGAGUUGGAAGGCAUUUGGGGGUGGUUCUGAGCUGGGGAGACAUAAUCAGAGAUGGGUUUCAGAAGGGGGACUCGGCCUCUUCUUCUAUGGAUCGACUGGGGGGGAGGGAACAAGACUAGAGGCUGGGACCCAGCUAAAAGAAAGAUGCUCCACAUCACCAGUCAUCCAGGAAAUGCACAUCAAAGCCACAUGCAAUAGAUGACUUCACACACCCCAGGAUGGCGAUGACAGCCACCAAAACCACAGAAAAUCACAAAUUUCCGUGAGAAUGUCGGGAAAGUGGAACCUCCUACGUUGCUGAUAGGAAUGCCACAGGGCAGCCAUGGUGAAAAACAGUUUGGUAGCUCCUCAGAGUUAAACAUCUGACCCAGCAGCUCCACUCAUAAGUAUAUGCCCCAAAAAUGGAAAACAGGGACUUAAACAUUUCUUGUACACCAGUGUUCACAGAAGCAUUAUUCACAAUAGCCAAAAAGAAACCACCCAAGUGUCCACCAACUGAAGAAUGGAUCAACAAAAUGUGGUGUAACCAUACAAUGGAGCAUUACUCAGCCAUCAAACAGAAUGAAGCUCUGAUACACGCUACCACAAGGGUGAACCUGAAAAUAUUACGCUACGUGAAAUAAGCCAGACACAAAAGGCCAAUACUGCAUGAUUCUAUCUACAUGAAAUAUCCAGAAAGGGCCAAUCCUUAGAGACAGAAAGCAGGUGAAUGGUUGCCAGGGGCUGGCAAAGGGGAAUGGGACGCCACUGCUUAAUGGGUCUGAAAUUCCUUUUGGGGUGACAAAAAAGUUCUGAAACUAGAGGGUGGUGAUGGUUGUGCAACAUUGUGAUGUACCUAAUGCCACUGAAUUGUACACUUUAACAUAGCUAAGAUGAGCUGGGCGUGGUGGUGGGCACCUGUAAUCCCAGCUACUCGGGAGGCUGAGGCAGGAGAAUCACUUGAACCCAGGAGGUGGAGGUUGCAGUGAGCCGAGAUCAGGCCAUUGCACUCCAGCCUGGGCAACAGGGCGAGACUCUGCCCCGGGGAAAAAAAAAAAA
This 2100-nucleotide long non-coding RNA is filed under the name Macaca fascicularis (crab-eating macaque). Its description in RNAcentral is "lncRNA (ENSMFAG00000060834.1)". The record is from RNAcentral. Lineage: Eukaryota; Metazoa; Chordata; Mammalia; Primates; Cercopithecidae.